RNAcentral lists this ribosomal RNA (397 nucleotides) under uncultured bacterium. Its description in RNAcentral is "bacterial SSU rRNA". It matches the Rfam family "Bacterial small subunit ribosomal RNA", at positions 358 to 771 of the family's 1533-position model. The record is from RNAcentral.
GGAAUAUUGCACAAUGGGCGCAAGCCUGAUGCAGCGACGCCGCGUGGGUGAAGAAGGUCUUCGGAUCGUAAAGCCCUUUUCUGCGUGACGAGAGAGGACGGUAGCGCAGGAAUAAGUCUCGGCUAACUACGUGCCAGCAGCCGCGGUAAAACGUAGGAGACAAACGUUAUCCGGAGUUACUGGGCGUAAAGGGCGGGUAGGCGGAAUGUUAAGUCUGGCGUGAAAGCUCUCGGCUAAACCGGGAGAGGUCGUUGGAUACUGGCAAACUAGAGGGUGGUAGAGGCGUGUGGAAUUCCGGGUGUAGUGGUGAAAUGCGUAGAGAUCCGGAGGAACACCAGUGGCGAAGGCGACACGCUGGGCCACACCUGACGCUAAAGCGCGACAGCAUGGGGAGCAA